AAAUCCAUCCCUGAUCCCAAAAAUCAUCCCUGGGAUCCCAAAAUCCAUCCCUGAUCCCAAAAUCCAUCCCUGGGAUCCCAAAAAUCAUCCCAACCCCGCAGCCCCUGCAGCAGGCGCUGGGAAUCCUCCUCCUUCAGCCUGGAACCAUCCCAAAAAUCAUCCCUGGGAUCCCAAAAUCCAUCCCUGGGAUCCCAAAAUCCAUCCCUGAUCCCAAAAAUCAUCCCUGAUCCCAACCCCGCAGCCCCUGCAGCAGGCGCUGGUACUCCUGGGCCAGGCGCUGGGAAUCCUCCUCCUUCAGCCUGGAACGGAUCCCAAAAAUCAUCCCUGGGAUCCCCCUGAGAUCCCAAAUCCAUCCCUGACCCCAAACCUGACCCCAAACCCGUGCCCUUUGACCCCCUUGUGCCCUUUGACCCCAAACCUGUUCCCUUUGACCCCCCGGUGCCCUUUGACCCCAAACCUGUGCCCAUUGACCCCAAACCCGUGCCCUUUGACCCCCCGGUGCCCUUUGACCCCAAACCCAUGCCCUUUGACCCCCCCGGUGCCCUUUGACCCAGUGCCCUUUGACCCCAAACCCAUGCCCUUUGACCCCCGGGUGCCCUUUGACCUUGACCCCAGCCCAUGCUCUUUGAUCCCCUUGUGCCCUUUGACCCCCGGUGCCCUUUGACCCCAAACCCAUGCCCUUUGACCCCCCCAG
This 694-nucleotide long non-coding RNA is filed under the name Lonchura striata (white-rumped munia). RNAcentral describes it as "domestica (Bengalese finch) lncRNA (ENSLSDG00000003736.1)". The record is from RNAcentral. Lineage: Eukaryota; Metazoa; Chordata; Aves; Passeriformes; Estrildidae.